RNAcentral lists this ribosomal RNA (1399 nucleotides) under metagenome. RNAcentral's name for it is "bacterial SSU rRNA". It matches the Rfam family "Bacterial small subunit ribosomal RNA". The record is from RNAcentral.
CGGGUGAGUAAUGCAUCGGAACGUGCCAUUGAGUGGGGGAUAACGUAGCGAAAGUUGCGCUAAUACCGCAUAUUCUGUGAGCAGGAAAGCAGGGGACCGCAAGGCCUUGCGCUCUUUGAGCGGCCGAUGUCAGAUUAGCUAGUUGGUGAGGUAAAGGCUUACCAAGGCGACGAUCUGUAGCGGGUCUGAGAGGAUGAUCCGCCACACUGGAACUGAGACACGGUCCAGACUCCUACGGGAGGCAGCAGUGGGGAAUUUUGGACAAUGGGGGCAACCCUGAUCCAGCCAUGCCGCGUGAGUGAAGAAGGCCUUCGGGUUGUAAAGCUCUUUCGGCCGGGAAGAAAUCGCAUGGGCCAAUACCCUGUGUGGAUGACGGUACCGGAAUAAGAAGCACCGGCUAACUACGUGCCAGCAGCCGCGGUAAUACGUAGGGUGCGAGCGUUAAUCGGAAUUACUGGGCGUAAAGCUGCGCAGGCGGUUUUGUAAGACAGGCGUGAAAUCCCCGGGCUUAACCUGGGAACUGCGUUUGUGACUGCAAGGCUAGAGUACGGCAGAGGGGGGUGGAAUUCCACGUGUAGCAGUGAAAUGCGUAGAGAUGUGGAGGAACACCAAUGGCGAAGGCAGCCCCCUGGGUCGAUACUGACGCUCAUGCACGAAAGCGUGGGUAGCAAACAGGAUUAGAUACCCUGGUAGUCCACGCCCUAAACUAUGUCAACUAGGUGUUGGGUGGGUAAAACCAUUUAGUACCGUAGCUAACGCGUGAAGUUGACCGCCUGGGGAGUACGGCCGCAAGGUUAAAACUCAAAGGAAUUGACGGGGACCCGCACAAGCGGUGGAUGAUGUGGAUUAAUUCGAUGCAACGCGAAAAACCUUACCUACCCUUGACAUGCCAGGAACUUGCCAGAGAUGGCUUGGUGCCCGAAAGGGAGCCUGGACACAGGUGCUGCAUGGCUGUCGUCAGCUCGUGUCGUGAGAUGUUGGGUUAAGUCCCGCAACGAGCGCAACCCUUGUCGUUAAUUGCCAUCAUUUGGUUGGGCACUUUAACGAGACUGCCGGUGACAAACCGGAGGAAGGUGGGGAUGACGUCAAGUCCUCAUGGCCCUUAUGGGUAGGGCUUCACACGUCAUACAAUGGUCGGUACAAAGGGUUGCCAAGCCGCGAGGCGGAGCCAAUCCCAGAAAGCCGAUCGUAGUCCGGAUUGCAGGCUGCAACUCGCCUGCAUGAAGUCGGAAUCGCUAGUAAUCGUGGAUCAGCAUGUCACGGUGAAUACGUUCCCGGGUCUUGUACACACCGCCCGUCACACCAUGGGAGCGGGUUCCGCCAGAAGUGGGUAGCCUAACCGCAAGGAGGGCGCUUACCACGGCGGGGUUCGUGACUGGGGUGAAGUCGGAACAAGGUA